ACUUUGUAUUGAUGUCUGAUUGUUCUGUGUCUACCAGCUGACACGGGAGCUUUGACCCUUCCUGGAUAUGGUGUACCACGCGCUGGACAGCCCGGAUGAUGAUUACCAUGCCCUGUUCGUGCUCUGCCUCCUCUAUGCCAUGUCUCAUAAUAAAGGGCUGGUGGUAAAAUCUACCUCACAUGGACUGCAUGGCACUAGUAGGCAUGGAUCCUGAAAAAUUAGAGCGAAUCCAGCUCCCCGUGCCAAAUGCGGCCGAGAAGACCACCUACAACCACCCGCUGGCUGAAAGACUCAUCAGGAUCAUGAACAACGCUGCCCAGCCAGAUGGGAAGAUCCGGCUGGCGACGCUGGAGCUGAGCUGCCUGCUUCUGAAGCAGCAAGUCCUGAUGAGUGCUGGCUGCAUCAUGAAGGACGUGCACCUGGCCUGCCUGGAGGGUGCAAGAGAAGAAAGUGUUCACCUUGUACGACAUUUUUAUAAGGGAGAAGACAUUUUUUUGGACAUGUUUGAAGAUGAGUAUAGGAGCAUGACA
RNAcentral lists this small RNA (530 nucleotides) under Pan troglodytes (chimpanzee). Its description in RNAcentral is "processed transcript". The record is from RNAcentral. Lineage: Eukaryota; Metazoa; Chordata; Mammalia; Primates; Hominidae.